This 1459-nucleotide ribosomal RNA is filed under the name uncultured bacterium. RNAcentral describes it as "bacterial SSU rRNA". It matches the Rfam family "Bacterial small subunit ribosomal RNA". The record is from RNAcentral.
AUUGAACGCUGGCGGCAGGCCUAACACAUGCAAGUCGAGCGGUAGAGAGAAGCUUGCUUCUCUUGAGAGCGGCGGACGGGUGAGUAAUACCUAGGAAUCUGCCUGAUAGUGGGGGAUAACGUUCGGAAACGGACGCUAAUACCGCAUACGUCCUACGGGAGAAAGCAGGGGACCUUCGGGCCUUGCGCUAUCAGAUGAGCCUAGGUCGGAUUAGCUAGUUGGUGAGGUAAUGGCUCACCAAGGCUACGAUCCGUAACUGGUCUGAGAGGAUGAUCAGUCACACUGGAACUGAGACACGGUCCAGACUCCUACGGGAGGCAGCAGUGGGGAAUAUUGGACAAUGGGCGAAAGCCUGAUCCAGCCAUGCCACGUGUGUGAAGAAGGUCUUCGGAUUGUAAAGCACUUUAAGUUGGGAGGAAGGGCAUUAACCUAAUACGUUAGUGUUUUGACGUUACCGACAGAAUAAGCACCGGCUAACUCUGUGCCAGCAGCCGCGGUAAUACAGAGGGUGCAAGCGUUAAUCGGAAUUACUGGGCGUAAAGCGCGCGUAGGUGGUUUGUUAAGUUGAAUGUGAAAUCCCCGGGCUCAACCUGGGAACUGCAUCCAAAACUGGCAAGCUAGAGUAUGGUAGAGGGUAGUGGAAUUUCCUGUGUAGCGGUGAAAUGCGUAGAUAUAGGAAGGAACACCAGUGGCGAAGGCGACUACCUGGACUGAUACUGACACUGAGGUGCGAAAGCGUGGGGAGCAAACAGGAUUAGAUACCCUGGUAGUCCACGCCGUAAACGAUGUCAACUAGCCGUUGGGAGUCUUGAACUCUUAGUGGCGCAGCUAACGCAUUAAGUUGACCGCCUGGGGAGUACGGCCGCAAGGUUAAAACUCAAAUGAAUUGACGGGGGCCCGCACAAGCGGUGGAGCAUGUGGUUUAAUUCGAAGCAACGCGAAGAACCUUACCAGGCCUUGACAUCCAAUGAACUUUCUAGAGAUAGAUUGGUGCCUUCGGGAACAUUGAGACAGGUGCUGCAUGGCUGUCGACAGCUCGUGUCGUGAGAUGUUGGGUUAAGUCCCGUAACGAGCGCAACCCUUGUCCUUAGUUACCAGCACGUAAUGGUGGGCACUCUAAGGAGACUGCCGGUGACAAACCGGAGGAAGGUGGGGAUGACGUCAAGUCACCAUGGCCCUUACGGCCUGGGCUACACACGUGCUACAAUGGUCGGUACAAAGGGUUGCCAAGCCGCGAGGUGGAGCUAAUCCCAUAAAACCGAUCGUAGUCCGGAUCGCAGUCUGCAACUCGACUGCGUGAAGUCGGAAUCGCUAGUAAUCGUGAAUCAGAAUGUCACGGUGAAUACGUUCCCGGGCCUUGUACACACCGCCCGUCACACCAUGGGAGUGGGUUGCACCAGAAGUAGCUAGUCUAACCUUCGGGAGGACGGUUACCACGGUGUGAUUCAUGACUGGGGUG